This 823-nucleotide ribosomal RNA is filed under the name uncultured Bacillus sp. RNAcentral's name for it is "bacterial SSU rRNA". It matches the Rfam family "Bacterial small subunit ribosomal RNA", at positions 132 to 939 of the family's 1533-position model. Lineage: Bacteria; Bacillati; Bacillota; Bacilli; Caryophanales; Bacillaceae. The record is from RNAcentral.
GUAAGACUGGGAUAACUCCGGGAAACCGGGGCUAAUACCGGAUGGUUGUUUGAACCGCAUGGUUCAAACAUAAAAGGUGGCUUCGGCUACCACUUACAGAUGGACCCGCGGCGCAUUAGCUAGUUGGUGAGGUAACGGCUCACCAAGGCAACGAUGCGUAGCCGACCUGAGAGGGUGAUCGGCCACACUGGGACUGAGACACGGCCCAGACUCCUACGGGAGGCAGCAGUAGGGAAUCUUCCGCAAUGGACGAAAGUCUGACGGAGCAACGCCGCGUGAGUGAUGAAGGUUUUCGGAUCGUAAAGCCCUGUUGUUAGGGAAGAACAAGUACCGUUCGAAUAGGGCGGUACCUUGACGGUACCUAACCAGAAAGCCACGGCUAACUACGUGCCAGCAGCCGCGGUAAUACGUAGGUGGCAAGCGUUGUCCGGAAUUAUUGGGCGUAAAGGGCUCGCAGGCGGUUUCUUAAGUCUGAUGUGAAAGCCCCCGGCUCAACCGGGGAGGGUCAUUGGAAACUGGGGAACUUGAGUGCAGAAGAGGAGAGUGGAAUUCCACGUGUAGCGGUGAAAUGCGUAGAGAUGUGGAGGAACACCAGUGGCGAAGGCGACUCUCUGGUCUGUAACUGACGCUGAGGAGCGAAAGCGUGGGGAGCGAACAGGAUUAGAUACCCUGGUAGUCCACGCCGUAAACGAUGAGUGCUAAGUGUUAGGGGGUUUCCGCCCCUUAGUGCUGCAGCUAACGCAUUAAGCACUCCGCCUGGGGAGUACGGUCGCAAGACUGAAACUCAAAGGAAUUGACGGGGGCCCGCACAAGCGGUGGAGCA